This is a long non-coding RNA of Notothenia coriiceps (black rockcod), 174 nucleotides long. RefSeq lists it as uncharacterized. Lineage: Eukaryota; Metazoa; Chordata; Actinopteri; Perciformes; Nototheniidae. The transcript is spliced from 2 exons. The record is from RefSeq and is a predicted model, not a curated record.
CAAUGUGGGCGGACCCAAUCUUCGUGGCACUGGGGGCGGGACUGUAAGGUCCGACAGGAAAACUGAAGAAAGGCGAGGAUCUCCAAUAAAACGAUGGCUGCAAUCAGAAAGAAGCUGGUGAUCGUGGGUGAUGGAGCCUGUGGGAAGACCUGCCUCCUCAUAGUGUUCAGCAAA